GGGUUGUGAGGUUAAGCGACUAAGCGUACACGGUGGAUGCCCUGGCAGUCAGAGGCGAUGAAGGGCGUGCUAAUCUGCGAUAAGCGCCGGUAAGGUGAUAUGAACCGUUAUAACCGGCGAUACCCGAAUGGGGAAACCCAGUGUGAUUCGUCACACUAUCAUUAACUGAAUCCAUAGGUUAAUGAGGCGAACCGGGGGAACUGAAACAUCUAAGUACCCCGAGGAAAAGAAAUCAACCGAGAUUCCCCCAGUAGCGGCGAGCGAACGGGGAGGAGCCCAGAGCCUGAAUCAGCAUGUGUGUUAGUGGAAGCGUCUGGAAAGGCGCGCGAUACAGGGUGACAGCCCCGUACACAAAAGCGCAUGUGCUGUGAGCUCGAUGAGUAGGGCGGGACACGUGGUAUCCUGUCUGAAUAUGGGGGGACCAUCCUCCAAGGCUAAAUACUCCUGACUGACCGAUAGUGAACCAGUACCGUGAGGGAAAGGCGAAAAGAACCCCGGCGAGGGGAGUGAAAAAGAACCUGAAACCGUGUACGUACAAGCAGUGGGAGCCCCACCACUAAGCCAGUGGUGAACUCCACAUCCGCAUCCUUUGCUGAGGAUACGGUUAACGGAGCGAAAGCGACGUUCAACCGCAAAACAAGCAGAGGGGGCUUAGUGGUGGGGUGACUGCGUACCUUUUGUAUAAUGGGUCAGCGACUUAUAUUCUGUAGCAAGGUUAACCGAAUAGGGGAGCCGGAGGGAAACCGAGUCUUAAUUGGGCGUUAAGUUGCAGGGUAUAGACCCGAAACCCGGUGAUCUAGCCAUGGGCAGGUUGAAGGUUGGGUAACACUAACUGGAGGACCGAACCGACUAAUGUUGAAAAAUUAGCGGAUGACCUGUGGCUGGGGGUGAAAGGCCAAUCAAACCGGGAGAUAGCUGGUUCUCCCCGAAAGCUAUUUAGGUAGCGCCUCGUGAAUUCAUCUCCGGGGGUAGAGCACUGUUUCGGCUAGGGGGCCAUCCCGGCUUACCAACCCGAUGCAAACUGCGAAUACCGGAGAAUGUUAUCACGGGAGACACACGGCGGGUGCUAACGUCCGUCGUGAAGAGGGAAACAACCCAGACCGCCAGCUAAGGUCCCAAAGUCAUGGUUAAGUGGGAAACGAUGUGGGAAGGCCCAGACAGCCAGGAUGUUGGCUUAGAAGCAGCCAUCAUUUAAAGAAAGCGUAAUAGCUCACUGGUCGAGUCGGCCUGCGCGGAAGAUGUAACGGGGCUAAACCAUGCACCGAAGCUGCGGCAGCGAACGUAUCACUUAAAGCGAUUCAGCGGGUUACGAUUGACGGAGCGAAGCGACGUCAAAGCGUAUACAAAGUCGAGUCGGUUUAAGGAUACGUUCGUUGGGUAGGGGAGCGUUCUGUAAGCCCGUGAAGGUGGCCUGUGAGGGUUGCUGGAGGUAUCAGAAGUGCGAAUGCUGACAUAAGUAACGAUAAAGCGGGUGAAAAGCCCGCUCGCCGGAAGACCAAGGGUUCCUGUCCAACGUUAAUCGGGGCAGGGUGAGUCGACCCCUAAGGCGAGGCCGAAAGGCGUAGUCGAUGGGAAACGGGUUAAUAUUCCCGUACUUGGUGUUACUGCGAAGGGGGGACGGAGAAGGCUAUGUUGGCCGGGCGACGGUUGUCCCGGUUUAAGCGUGUAGGUGUGUGUUCCAGGUAAAUCCGGUUCACUUUAACACUGAGGCGUGACGACGAGGCACUACGGUGCUGAAGCAACAAAUGCCCUGCUUCCAGGAAAAGCCUCUAAGCAUCAGGUAACAUCAAAUCGUACCCCAAACCGACACAGGUGGUCAGGUAGAGAAUACCAAGGCGCUUGAGAGAACUCGGGUGAAGGAACUAGGCAAAAUGGUGCCGUAACUUCGGGAGAAGGCACGCUGACACGUAGGUGAAGUGAUUUACUCAUGGAGCUGAAGUCAGUCGAAGAUACCAGCUGGCUGCAACUGUUUAUUAAAAACACAGCACUGUGCAAACACGAAAGUGGACGUAUACGGUGUGACGCCUGCCCGGUGCCGGAAGGUUAAUUGAUGGGGUCAGCGCAAGCGAAGCUCCUGAUCGAAGCCCCGGUAAACGGCGGCCGUAACUAUAACGGUCCUAAGGUAGCGAAAUUCCUUGUCGGGUAAGUUCCGACCUGCACGAAUGGCGUAAUGAUGGCCAGGCUGUCUCCACCCGAGACUCAGUGAAAUUGAACUCGCUGUGAAGAUGCAGUGUACCCGCGGCAAGACGGAAAGACCCCGUGAACCUUUACUAUAGCUUGACACUGAACAUUGAGCCUUGAUGUGUAGGAUAGGUGGGAGGCUUUGAAGUGUGGACGCCAGUCUGCAUGGAGCCGACCUUGAAAUACCACCCUUUAAUGUUUGAUGUUCUAACGUGGACCCGUUACCCGGGUUGCGGACAGUGUCUGGUGGGUAGUUUGACUGGGGCGGUCUCCUCCUAAAGAGUAACGGAGGAGCACGAAGGUUGGCUAAUCCUGGUCGGACAUCAGGAGGUUAGUGCAAUGGCAUAAGCCAGCUUGACUGCGAGCGUGACGGCGCGAGCAGGUGCGAAAGCAGGUCAUAGUGAUCCGGUGGUUCUGAAUGGAAGGGCCAUCGCUCAACGGAUAAAAGGUACUCCGGGGAUAACAGGCUGAUACCGCCCAAGAGUUCAUAUCGACGGCGGUGUUUGGCACCUCGAUGUCGGCUCAUCACAUCCUGGGGCUGAAGUAGGUCCCAAGGGUAUGGCUGUUCGCCAUUUAAAGUGGUACGCGAGCUGGGUUUAGAACGUCGUGAGACAGUUCGGUCCCUAUCUGCCGUGGGCGCUGGAGAACUGAGGGGGGCUGCUCCUAGUACGAGAGGACCGGAGUGGACGCAUCACUGGUGUUCGGGUUGUCAUGCCAAUGGCACUGCCCGGUAGCUAAAUGCGGAAGAGAUAAGUGCUGAAAGCAUCUAAGCACGAAACUUGCCCCGAGAUGAGUUCUCCCUGAGACUUAGAGUCUCCUGAAGGAACGUUGAAGACGACGACGUUGAUAGGCCGGGUGUGUAAGCGCAGCGAUGCGUUGAGCUAACCGGUACUAAUGAACCGUGAGGCUUAACCUUACAACGCCGAAG
This 3109-nucleotide ribosomal RNA is filed under the name Salmonella enterica subsp. enterica serovar Saintpaul. RNAcentral's name for it is "bacterial LSU rRNA". It matches the Rfam family "Bacterial large subunit ribosomal RNA". The record is from RNAcentral. Lineage: Bacteria; Pseudomonadati; Pseudomonadota; Gammaproteobacteria; Enterobacterales; Enterobacteriaceae. RNAcentral also lists the same sequence under 2 other names.